This 379-nucleotide ribosomal RNA is filed under the name uncultured bacterium. RNAcentral's name for it is "bacterial SSU rRNA". It matches the Rfam family "Bacterial small subunit ribosomal RNA", at positions 503 to 887 of the family's 1533-position model. The record is from RNAcentral.
GUGACUCAGCAGCCGCGGUAAUACGUAGGGGGCAAGCGUUGUCCGGAAUCACUGGGCGUAAAGCGCGUGUAGGCGGCCAGGUAAGUCAGAGGUGAAAACCGCGGCUCAAGCGCAGGCUUGCCUUUGAAACUACUUGGCUUGAGGUCAGAAGAGGAGAGUGGAAUUCCCAGUGUAGCGGUGAAAUGCGUAGAUAUUGGGAGGAACACCAGUGGCGAAGGCGGCUCUCUGGUCUGCACCUGACCUGAGGMAGAAAGCGUGGGUAGCAAACAGGAUUAGAUACCCUGGUAGUCCACGCCGUAAACGAUGGGUGCUAGGUGUUGGGGUAUGAACCCCUCAGUGCCGNUCUAACGCGAUAAGCACCCGCCUGGGAAGUACGGUC